Molecule: long non-coding RNA, 796 nt
Filed under: Rattus norvegicus (Norway rat)
Lineage: Eukaryota; Metazoa; Chordata; Mammalia; Rodentia; Muridae
Description: long non-coding RNA NONRATT009010
Source: RNAcentral
AUCCCCAACCCCCUGCCUGACUUGUUUUUAUUAUUAUUUUUUUAAGUAGGUGCACAUUCUUCAGGCUUCCUACUCUUCUUGUGCACAGUAUAAAGUGAUAGGUUGAAAAUGAGAAAAAAAAGGAGUAAAACGAAUUUCUUUGAUCCUCAAAUUGAUUCUCAUUAAAAUAGAGAUUGAAGCAAUGUUGACUGGGUUCCUACUAUUUUUAAAUCUGCACGAGUCUUCAUACAGUAGCAUCAUGUAUUCAUGGUCAUUUUGAAGAACUACUUAGAUUAACCUGACCUCUAUAAUGGAUAUUUUUGACAUCACUUUGAGUAGUACAUGCCCAGGAAAAUACUCAGAAUGAACAAGUGAAUAAAUAAAGCUCCUUCUAAACAUAUGUCCUAGCAAUUCCAUUUAUAUGUUUUUUUUAAAGCCUGCUGACUAAGAAUUGGAUAAGGUUUGCUAUAUUGCUAGUGCUGUUGUGAGCUUAUAGAGUUAAGUGGCAUAUGUCAGAUUGUAUGUAAACAUGUCUGAGGACCAAAAAGAUGUCAGUUUACACCAGAAAUUAUUGGCUGCUGGUUACGUUUGUGUAAAAAUUUAGACCUCUACACUGGAAAUAAUCAGAAGGCAUGUAACCGCAGGUUAAUAUAUGAUGAUCUCAUUGUUUCUGUAAUUAAUGUCUAGAACUAAAAUAAAAGAUUAAUUGGUGAAAUGAUUUGCUUACUUGAUGAAAAAUACUGGCAAUAUCUUGGAAACAUGUAAAUUUGCUUUAAAUUAAAAACAUACAUUUCUGUUAGAGUAAAAGGUUAUUUCC